This is a non-coding RNA of Chlorocebus sabaeus (green monkey), 793 nucleotides long. NCBI's taxonomy places the organism in Eukaryota, Metazoa, Chordata, Mammalia, Primates, Cercopithecidae. The record is from RefSeq and is a predicted model, not a curated record.
AGGACACACAUUGUAGAUAGGCCUGUGUCAUGUUUCCUUACAGUCGUUUUUUUACAGAGAAAAGGGGCAUUGUUUUUUCACUUCUUUCUCAACAGUUCCUAUGAAUAAACGAAACAUUUCGGUGCUCCCUAAGAGCAAGAGCCCUCACUUCUUCUUGCAGUGCCGGCACCAUGUGUUGGUGAAGCUGGUGCUCUGGGGGCCGCUCACUCAAAUGACACCUGGAGGCCGUUUCCUCCCUGAUCACCCCCUUCCCCAGCCUGACUUUUUGGCCUCCUGCCCAACCAGACACCUCAAACUCUGUCAGCACCCUGGCAUUCUGGCAGAGAAUCCUCACCAGUUCUCACCAACCUUCUCCCCAGGCAAGAGAAGCUGCCAGCUUGGCACUCUGCCAGGACGGGUUUCCCUGGAGGAAGCUGCUCACACUGAGAUGAGCCUCUCAGGGCAGGACCUCUUCCCAAGCCCCGCACACCCACCCCUGCAGCCCUUUUGGCUCCCCUUUUUCCCCGUGCCUCAGCACUCCUUGCCUGGCUGCAGAUAACGAACUGGGGUUCCCUAAAGGGCAGAUCUGCCCUCUCCGUGUCUUCGUCCUGGCAAAAAGAGUCCUCUUAAAAUUAUGCACUAAUUCUGUACGGGAGCAUGCAAAAGACAUUACUUAGAGAUUGAAAUUUCAAACUAUCUGUAGUUUUUCAAUGGAAAUGUAUCAGAUAACGAAAAACCAUCAAGCUCAUUAUUAUUUUUUGAUCUUCAGUUGUAUUUUUGUGAAUAUUUUAAUACAUCUUUUUCAAUUUCUGGA